RNAcentral lists this non-coding RNA (241 nucleotides) under Gottschalkia purinilytica. RNAcentral's name for it is "Clostridium purinilyticum T-box sequence". It matches the Rfam family "T-box leader". From Rfam's summary of the family: Uncharged tRNA acts as the effector for transcription antitermination of genes in the T-box leader family. T-boxes are found upstream of many aminoacyl-tRNA synthetase genes and some amino acid biosynthetic genes usually in Gram-positive bacteria. Lineage: Bacteria; Bacillati; Bacillota; Tissierellia; Tissierellales; Gottschalkiaceae. The record is from RNAcentral.
AUAAAUGCCAAGAAGGAGAAAGGUAUUUUAUUUUAAUAGUCACAGAGAGUCGGUAAUUGCUGAGAGCCGAUACUGUUAGUAAUAUGCGAAUCACUCCUGAGCAGUAUCUUCCAAAAGUCUGCACUUAGUAGUUGAUACCGGUUAGCUUCGUUAAAAGCUUUAGGUUUGAUAGAACUGAAAUAAGUGGUGUCUUUUUCGACACAAUUAAGGUGGUACCACGGGUCUUAAGCUCGUCCUUUGU